GAUGAACGCUGACAGAAUGCUUAACACAUGCAAGUCGAUGGGGAAGUGGUGCUUGCACCAUGGCAACCAUGGCGGACGGGUGAGUAACGCGUAAGGGACUUACCUGCAGGACUGGGAUAACAGGGGGAAACUCCUGACAAGACCGGAUAAUGUCAUGGAGCUGCAUGGCUUUAUGAUGAAAGGAGACGCCUGCGGAGAGCCUUGCGUCCUAUUAGCUAGUUGGUGAGGUAAUGGCUCACCAAGGCGAAGAUAGGUAGCCGGCCUGAGAGGGUGGACGGCCACAAGGGGACUGAGAUACGGCCCUUACUCCUACGGGAGGCAGCAGUGGGGAAUAUUGGACAAUGGGGGCAACCCUGAUCCAGCAAUUCUGUGUGCACGAAGAAGGUUUUCGGAUUGUAAUGUGCUUUCAGCAGGGAAGAAGUAAGUGACGGUACCUGCAGAAGAAGCGACGGCUAAAUACGUG
This 463-nucleotide ribosomal RNA is filed under the name uncultured bacterium. RNAcentral's name for it is "partial 16S ribosomal RNA". It matches the Rfam family "Bacterial small subunit ribosomal RNA", at positions 28 to 507 of the family's 1533-position model. The record is from RNAcentral.